Molecule: ribosomal RNA, 253 nt
Filed under: uncultured bacterium
Lineage: Bacteria
Description: partial 16S ribosomal RNA
Rfam family: Bacterial small subunit ribosomal RNA
Source: RNAcentral
GACGAACUGUGCAAACGUUAUUCGGAAUCACUGGGCUUGAAGAGUGCGUAGGCGGUUUCGUAAGUAGGGUGUGAAAGCCCCCGGCUCAACCGGGGAAUGGCGUCCUAAACUGCGAGGCUGGAGUGAGGUAGGGGUGUGCGGAACUUCCGGUGGAGCGGUGAAAUGUGUUGAUAUCGGAAGGAACGCCGGUGGCGAAAGCGGCACACUGGACCUUGUCUGACGCUGAGGCACGAAAGCCAGGGGAGCAAACGGG